RNAcentral lists this ribosomal RNA (440 nucleotides) under uncultured bacterium. Its description in RNAcentral is "partial 16S ribosomal RNA". It matches the Rfam family "Bacterial small subunit ribosomal RNA", at positions 339 to 795 of the family's 1533-position model. The record is from RNAcentral.
CUACGGGACGCUGCAGUGGGGAAUAUUGGACAAUGGGCGCAAGCCUGAUCCAGCAAUGCCGCGUGAGUGAAGACGGCCUUAGGGUUGUAAAGCUCUUUCAGUCGUGACGAUGAUGACGGUAACGACAGAAGAAGCCCCGGCUAACUCCGUGCCAGCAGCCGCGGUAAUAGCGGAGGGGGCUAGCGUUGUUCGGAAUUACUGGGCGUAAAGCGCACGUAGGCGGCGUAUCAAGUCAGAGGUGAAAGGCCCGGGCUCAACCUGGGAACUGCCUUUGAUACUGGUAUGCUUGAGUCCGGAAGAGGGUAGUGGAAUUUCCAGUGUAGAGGUGAAAUUCGUAGAUAUUGGAAAGAACACCAGUGGCGAAGGCGGCUACCUGGUCCGGUACUGACGCUGAGGUGCGAAAGCGUGGGGAGCAAACAGGAUUAGAUACCCGAGUAGUC